CUGUUCUGCAAGUCCUCCGUUAAAUCCACCUGCUCAACGGAUGGGCUGCGGAGGAUACCGCAGAGCUAGGAGGCGGGAGAGGCAAACGGUACUCAGUGGGUAGGGGUAAAAUCCAUUGAUCUACUGAAGACCACCAGUGGCGAAGGCGGUUUGCCAGAACGCGCUCGACGGUGAGGGAUGAAAGCUGGGGGAGCAAACCGGAUUAGAUACCCGGGUAGUCCCAGCUGUAAACGAUGCAGACUCGGUGAUGAGUUGGCUAUAUGCCAUCUCAGUGCCGCAGGGAAGCCGUUAAGUUUGCCGCCUGGGGA
Molecule: ribosomal RNA, 308 nt
Filed under: uncultured archaeon
Lineage: Archaea
Description: bacterial SSU rRNA
Rfam family: Archaeal small subunit ribosomal RNA
Source: RNAcentral